RNAcentral lists this long non-coding RNA (5541 nucleotides) under Malus domestica (apple). RNAcentral describes it as "long non-coding RNA (MDOM_LNC016448)". Lineage: Eukaryota; Viridiplantae; Streptophyta; Magnoliopsida; Rosales; Rosaceae. The record is from RNAcentral.
GUUAUUAUCUACAUUAAGAGGGUGUGGGGAGUGAGUUAAGUCUCACAACCAAUCUAUACUAAGAAAACAUGAUUUCUGAUGGCCUAAGAGAACUUGAAAUGUCUUUGCGAGUUUUUCUAUCUCUUAAAAAAUGGACUGUUAUGGUGAAACCACCAACUGGUUCCCCUUUAAAAAAAUUUUGGAAAGAAAAAAUAUCUAUAAUUCGUUUUCUUUGUUGGGCAAUACAGUUGAUAGAUAAAUAAUAAAGUAAUGGAAUCAAUUGGAUGUAUAGGACAAACCAUGGUCUCUCCAAUACAACAUUGUAAUAGUCAAAGACUCAAAUAAGACCUGGAUUUCAAAUAUAAAAUGUAUGGAUUAAAUUAAUUAAUCAUGCAAAAGUUUUCAAACAAAGUUCCAAACCACAUAAUUUAAAUGGGAUUUCGCUUCCGCCGGCAUUAACUAGUCCAACUCUUGUCUUCUUAUUUGCUUGGAUGCGAAUUCAAUAUAUAGUUCUAUCAUGUCUUCUACUUAAGUUAAUUAUCUGUUACCAUUUUAUCGUUUGAAAGAAGAUGCAUUCAUAUGUAUCAUCCAUCAAAAUUGAGGUGAGCUGAACCAUAAGCCAAGUGAAAGGUGUUUAUUGGGGAUGGGCUGGAACCCACAAACCGCGAGCAAACUUUGAUAUAAGGUCUGCAGGCUCCUCAAAUUAGGUACUACAGUUAUUAGCCAAAAAGACAGAACAAACUAGAGAAUGAGCUAAACAAUUAAUUUUACGACAUAUAUGGGUAGCAGUUGCUUAAAUAUCGUUGUACUCUAACCUAAAACAGUCACUCCCAAAGUACUAUUACUAUUCCCUUCUCAUUUUCUUGAAUAAAGGGGUAAGUAAACAAAAUUUGAACGUAUAUAACAAUUAGCAAACAAAUUGCAAACAAGAAUAAAACAAAAGGAAUUUUAACGAAAAGCUUCCGGUACUGCUUAUUUUAAUGAAAAACCAUAUUUUUACACUAAAAAGUCAAUCAUGGUACUAUUCACUUUACCUUUUAUUUUGUCCUUAUCGUUAAAACUUAAAGUUUUCAAAUAUUUUUCAUUAGUUUUCCUUAAAACAAAUGAUAUAAUGCAACCAUACAAAAUAACACGUCUCCCGCAUUUGACAGAGGGAAACAGCGAAAAGAUUUGUAAGGACUUACUGAGUUCCGAAAUAUACCACAUGUAAGAAUCCCAAUGAAAUUGACAUGUCAAACAGGAGAAAAUUUUACAUAAAACAUGUUCACCGUUAUAUUCCUGUGUUCUUUGUUCAAUAAUGUAUUGUCAUGUGCAAAUUCUUCUUCACAUAACAAUGUUUAAUUAGAACACUAUAUGACGGUAAAUUUAUUUCUUAUAAGUUGAUCUCGUAAAACAAAUCCGCUCAAACGUCUCAUUGGAAACGAAAGAUGACCCCACCACCUUGUUCUGUUGAUUUUGCCAUUUCCUCCCACUUUUGCCCACUACUCACUUUUGAUCUCAUUUCUUGCCAUUUUCUCGUGUGUUUCCCUUUCUUGGGCUUCGGUUUUGGCAACAAAGUCCAAAGUUCUGCAUGUCUUUGAUAUCUGUUUCAGUGAUGAAUUGGUGAACUUGUUUAAGCCCUUACAGAAUCUCCAAAGGAGAUGUCUGUUUUCAGGUGGCAACGCCAAAUCAGAAAAGAAAAACACACGAAAGAGCUCCAACCGAAGCUGUUUAAGCUCACGUGGAUUGACCCCUUUGAUGCACGCCGUCAAAAUUGGCAGCGAGGAAAGAAGGCGUCAAUUUCUCCAUUUUCUUGGUUUUAUACUUAGGGCCCACAUAACAUUUCUGUUACUAGAGUGAAUUUUAACUUCCUUUCACCCAAUUUUUAGUAUAUCAAGAAAUUAAAAUAAAUGAAAAUAUUAAAUUACCAUAUAAGCCAUCAAAUAUAAAUUUGAUGAUUUAAAUUUAGCAUCUCCAAGGGAGAUGCUAUUUUUUUUUUUAGUUAAGUAGUGCAAGUGUUAGAUAAUUAUAGUUUCAGUUUAUUUUAUGUAAAGAUGACAAUCUAAUUUUAUGUUAUAUAGUACAUAUAUAUUUGUCUCUCCCGUUAAUUAAUCACACGAUGGUGAUCAAGUGAAGGUUGAAAUACCUCUGUGAGUCUUUCCGACCCCCGAAAUGGUGGACUGUCGUGGUGAAGCUACCAAUUGGUUCCCUUUUUAUAAGAAAAAAAAUUGCAUUUUAAAUAAUGUAACUUAAGGCGACCAGAAUGUGGAGGCACCUUUUGUAUGAUGUAUGAAAUUUUUUUAACUAGGUAAGCUAAAUUUGAGAGGUGUGAAACUGUAUGGAUUUGUGUCCUUAAAAGAGUUCACACCAAGGAAUAUCAUAAUGAAACCUCAAUUACAUAUGGUAAUGGGGAAUUACUCUUCCCUCAUUGAAGGACAUUCCCAAAAUUUCAAUAUUCCUUAGGCCAAUCCUCAUCUUGCUCUUUCUUGUAUGUGAGUUUCUAAGCCACAAGGCAUAACAUUCGAUUCCGAGUGACCAUAUAUAUACGCAUACAGAAAUGUUUUGUCCCUACCCGUACUACCCAAUCUGUUUUAAUAAUUGAUAUUGGAACUUUAAGAGAUUUUCCAGAAGAUUUUCUUCCCAUGGUUUUGUAAUAUUUUAAGAACCUUGACGGUACAAGAAAAACUCAUUCAAACAUUGAUAUAUGUUAAAGUGGGCAACGCAAAGCUAAACUCCGACUAGAUAUAUAUAUAUAUAUAUAUAUAUAUAUAUGAAUCUUCAGAAAAGGGCAUCUGGUAUAAAGGCGUUGGACAACCUCAUUUCCACUCUAACCUAUCUUCAAUCUUUAUCGCUACUGAUCGCUAAGCGAUGAACAACACCAUUCGCCUCUUUAUUAGUGCAUGGGCUUAUACUGACGUCUUAUAAUUGCUUGCAUAAGUACAAUAUUUAUGUGUUUUUUGAGUACAUCUAUCUUUUUACACUAAGAGGAUAGGGAAUUUCGCUAAGCCACAUAAUAUUUAUGUGUUUGAAGCUGGUUGAAUGGAGUUUCUUGUAUGGAAAGGUGACAAAUCAAAGUACUGCACUUUUGAUUUCCGAAACUUGUUAUUUGUUUAACAAGGAACAUCAACACGGUAUUUUUGAAAAAUACUGAAGUCAUCAUUGAUUUUCAAGGCUAAUGGAUGGAGUGAACUAUCUAUUGCAUGGAAUUAAUGCUUUGUUAAGUCUAGGGUGAUUUUCAGAAGGAUUAGAAACAAAAUGAAACAAAAUUUUCAAUUUUCAUUCUAAAAGUUUCGGAUUGAAUGGCAUCAAAACAUAAUUUUCUUACCAGGCCCAUCGCUUUCAAUUAAAUUUUUAAGGCAUAGUAGUUUCUAUUUGAAAUUUGUAGGUGAAAUGAUGUAAUCUAAGAUAACCUAAAAAACUAAACAAUAUAUAAACAAUAUAUAUAUAUAUAUAUAUAUGACCUAAGCCUAUAUAAUAUAAUCAAAUCAACUAUAUGAAACUACAUUUUUUUCAUUUUUAAGAUAAAGUUUGGAACUAGCUAGGGUAAUGUUCUUUGUUUGAACCUUGAUUUAAAAAUUUAGGAUUUUUCUUUGACAUCAACACAUUGGACUCCACUGGUAAAGGAACUUGAAAUUUCUUCACUCUAUUCUACUUUGCCUCUUUACUCUUCAGAAAGAACCCGAUGAGUUAGUUUCUAUUGGUCUUUGGAAAUUAGGUUGAACAAACACUUCAUUGGAUCGAAGGGCUGGCGUGUACUCCAUGACAGGGGCGUAAAAUGACUGAAUUUCAGCAUCAAGCCAACAUGUUCGUUGAUUUCUCCCCUUGGAUGAUGCCUGUUGUAUCCCCACCAUCCAUGCUUAAUUAUUUUAUAAUUAUUCACUGACUUCAAUAUAAAAGGCCUUAAUUUGUGGUCUACAAUUCAUUAAUGCAAACUUAGUGGAUUCCCUUAAAAUAAUUAGUUUAUUGGCUGUUUGCAGUCUCAAAGAUAUACAAAUCAACUAUUAUACACGGUUACAAAUUGCAUUGCAAGUGGCCAUGUGCUUAAUUACACUAGGAAAAGAGGCAAUGGAACAAAAGGGAGAAUAUAUGUUUGUUUUGUUAACAGAGCUAGUAAUUAGUGUUUGAUGAGGAAAGCACCCAUUCUCUAAAGUAGCAUCAUUUCGUUGUAUACGCCAAUUAUUCAUUCUCUUUAAUUAUCAUUUUAAAUACUUUUAUUCAAUUUGAACAUUGUUCAGUUGUUCAUAUAAAAUAAAGAAGUCGACGGUUCAUCGUUAUGAUGCUGUUUAUUAUCGUGAUCUUUAAUUUGUUCAACAUAUAUGAUGAUUAAAUGUUCUACAAAUUAAAUAAUUUAAAAAAUAUAUAAUAUUUAGAUGAUGGUAAAAAGAAUGAACAUAUUUCAUUCUAACAAUUGGACGACGAAAUAAUGACGAGGUAGAAAGAGAAUGAGGACUUUCCACCUCACAGGAGUUGAGAGAAACUAUUAUCGAUCCUUGUUGGUUAAAUUCACAGGCUACUAAUUAUUGAACAAGAGGCCCACAUAGGCAUUGCGACUUUAGCAUUUGAAUGUCGUUGCCUUCAAGUUUAGUGAGGUGUUUAUACUACCAACACGUGAAUCCAUGUGAAGGGGGUCCUCCAUGUUGUUAUUUGCUCUAGGAUCCUUUGAGUGUUGGGCAGAAAAUCCAUAAAAAGGGGGCUGAUUAAUUUAUUAAAGAUCACUGUGAGAAGUUUAAAGUUUUGUUUAACUUUAAUUAGAAGUUCUUGCCUGGAGUUUGACUGAUAAAGAUUGCUAUGUCAGUAUUCGAUGGAAUUAUGAAAGCUAAUUAAAUUUGUUGAUACACAAAAUCAGAGGUUUUGGAACAAUGUAAAUCCGACCGUGAAUCUGCAUGAAAAGUAAAUAACACAAGAUGUAUCGUGGUUCACCCCAAGGUUUGGGCUACGUCCAUACUGAUUAUGUAUUUAUGAGAGUAUUGAGGAUGAGAGAGUUUCUGAGGGUGAGAGGGCCUAGGAAUUGGCCUCUGAGGGUGAGAAUGAGGCUCUCCUCAAUUGUGAGGGUGAGGGGUCAUUUUAUAGAAUAAGGGCUCCUCACUUAUUACAUAUUUGCCCAUUCCCUUAUUACAUAAUUACAUUUGAGUCCCCUGAGUAUUUGUACGAGAUCUAAAUACGGAGGCCCUAAGUAUGGUAUAAACAGUAGUCCUCAAAGUCUUCAAUCAAGAGAGUCUUUUGGCUGGAGACUUGAAAUUCAGUCCAUGUGUGGGCCGAAGUAACUAGAUGUCGUCUAGGACUGAUACUUGAUAUGAGGUGGUGCCCAAUCCGAAAUGAUGCUCAACUAUCACAUGUUGCGAGGCUGCUCGGCUUGUGGCUUAUGUUGCCUUGGUUGGCUCGGCUUGUGGCGUUGAAGGUGAGGGAGUCCCUUUUAUAAAAUAAGGGCUCGCUCCUCAAUACAUAAAUGAUGGGCUAGAGUUGAUGCUCGCGGCGAGGCGGUUGCUCAAUAGGCGGCGAUGCUCUCUAAUGGUGGUGAGAGAGUCCCUUUUAUAGAAUAAGGGCUCGCUCCUCAAUACAUAAGUGAUGGGUUAGGAGUGAUGC